RNAcentral lists this long non-coding RNA (843 nucleotides) under Mustela putorius furo (domestic ferret). RNAcentral describes it as "lncRNA (ENSMPUG00000029264.1)". The record is from RNAcentral. Lineage: Eukaryota; Metazoa; Chordata; Mammalia; Carnivora; Mustelidae.
AUGUGCACGUUUGAUUUCAGACCACUGCAAUCAAAUUUGGUGGAAAUGGUGUGGGACAAGAGCGGACAGCUUCAGAAACAACAAGAAACACAUGGAUUCGCAAACCCUUUGAGUUCUCUGUCUUUCUCACCAUUUCCAAAGGUUGUGGGUAGGUUCCUCAGGUCUUGUGGAGGCCGAGAAAAAUCAAGGCCAUCCCACCUCAGGAUUAGCUUUAGCAUAAGUACAGCCAUCUCAGACCCCUGUGCCCAAGGGCUGAACUUUCCCCCACCCUGUUUUAGUAACCCCCACCCUGUUUUGGUUCCAGAAAUCCCCACCCUGCUUUAGUAACAGGAACCCAUAAAUACCCCUGCCUUAACCAAGCUCAGGGUCCAAGUCCUUACUCUGCUGUGUUGGGUAUACUUGGGCCUAAGCUUAAGCUUGUUGAAUAAACCCUCGUGUGAUUGCAUAGGUGCUUGGCUCCUUGGUGGUCUCUCGGACGAGAAAACCCAGGCACAACAGUCUGAGCUCUGCUCUUUGCAUUCAGCUCCUAGUCAAAUUGUUUUUCUAGUCAUUCUCACAUUUGGAGCUGCUGGUAGUUUAGACCACAACUCUCCAUUUGUAUAGAAACCCCAGUCCUUGGUUCUGUCCCCGGAUAACACAUUGGGAACUGCUGGUGGUUUAGGAUGCCAUUCCCCAGUUGUAUGGAAUUAGUCCAUAGUGUCCAUUCCUCAGGUACUACUAGUUCAAUGCUUUCUCCAGUCCCCAGCUCCACUUUGGUGGUAGUGGACACAGGGCCUCCUCUUGGCCAUGCCACAGUAAUAUCNNNNNNNNNNNNNNNNNNNNNNNNNNNNNNNNNNNNNNNNN